Molecule: ribosomal RNA, 434 nt
Filed under: uncultured bacterium
Lineage: Bacteria
Description: partial 16S ribosomal RNA
Rfam family: Bacterial small subunit ribosomal RNA
Source: RNAcentral
ACGGAAGGCAGCAGUGGGGAAUAUUGCACAAUGGGGGAAACCCUGAUGCAGCGACGCCGCGUGAGUGAAGAAGUAUUUCGGUAUGUAAAGCUCUAUCAGCAGGGAAGAAAAUGACGGUACCUGACUAAGAAGCCCCGGCUAACUACGUGCCAGCAGCCGCGGUAAUACGUAGGGGGCAAGCGUUGUCCGGAAUGAUUGGGCGUAAAGGGCGCGUAGGCGGCCCGGUAAGUCUGGAGUGAAAGUCCUGCCUUUAAGGUGGGAAUUGCUUUGGAUACUGUCGGGCUUGAGUGCAGGAGAGGUAAGUGGAAUUCCCAGUGUAGCGGUGAAAUGCGUAGAGAUUGGGAGGAACACCAGUGGCGAAGGCGACUUACUGGACUGUAACUGACGCUGAGGCGCGAAAGUGUGGGGAGCAAACAGGAUUAGAUACCCUGGUA